CCUACGGGGGGCAGCAGUGGGGAAUAUUGGACAAUGGGGGGAACCCUGAUCCAGCCAUGCCGCGUGUGUGAAGAAGGCCCUCGGGUUGUAAAGCACUUUCAGUGAGGAAGAACGCCUGGUGGUUAAUACCCAUCAGGAAAGACAUCACUCACAGAAGAAGCACCGGCUAACUCCGUGCCAGCAGCCGCGGUAAUACGGAGGGUGCGAGCGUUAAUCGGAAUUACUGGGCGUAAAGCGCGCGUAGGUGGCUUGAUAAGCCGGUUGUGAAAGCCCCGGGCUCAACCUGGGAACGGCAUCCGGAACUGUCGAGCUAGAGUGCAGGAGAGGAAGGUAGGAUUCCCGGUGUAGCGGUGAAAUGCGUAGAGAUCGGGAGGAGUACCAGUGGCGAAGGCGGCCUUCUGGACUGACACUGACGCUGAGGGGCGAAAGCGGGGGUAGCGAGCAGGAUUAGAGACCCUGGUAGGC
This 465-nucleotide ribosomal RNA is filed under the name Vreelandella stevensii. RNAcentral's name for it is "partial 16S ribosomal RNA". It matches the Rfam family "Bacterial small subunit ribosomal RNA", at positions 338 to 795 of the family's 1533-position model. Lineage: Bacteria; Pseudomonadati; Pseudomonadota; Gammaproteobacteria; Oceanospirillales; Halomonadaceae. The record is from RNAcentral.